This 301-nucleotide long non-coding RNA is filed under the name Homo sapiens (human). RNAcentral describes it as "HSALNT0242213". The record is from RNAcentral. Lineage: Eukaryota; Metazoa; Chordata; Mammalia; Primates; Hominidae.
CAAAUAGAACCACACAACUAAGAGCCACUGCAAAAUACGAGAAAGCAUCAUCUCCAGCUCUGCCUGCUUAGAUGAGGUUGAGGUUGCAGAGAUACCCAAGGAGAGUAACCUGUCCAAUUUCAUUUCCAGUUUUCUCCUGACCCCACUACACACUACCUAGAAUUGUCAGAUUUAACAAAUAAGAAUACAGGAUGCUUGGCUGCAGUUGAAUUUCAAGCAAACAACGCAAAUUUUUGGUGAAAAGGAAGGCACUCUCAGAUACAUCACGACUUGCAGUUCUGUGCACAAGCCUUCCAGGUGC